Trifolium pratense (red clover) is the source of this 129-nucleotide small nucleolar RNA. RefSeq annotates it as small nucleolar RNA U19. The transcript has a single exon. NCBI's taxonomy places the organism in Eukaryota, Viridiplantae, Streptophyta, Magnoliopsida, Fabales, Fabaceae. The record is from RefSeq and is a predicted model, not a curated record.
AUGUGACUUAGUUAGGGGGCAAAUAUUAAUUGAAAUCUAAUGUUAAUUAGGUUUCUUUCAAAGAUAGGCCUAUUGAAUGGACAAUCUGUUUUCUACUUUCAGAUGUCCCUCAAGCAGCCUUUCACAUUU